RNAcentral lists this ribosomal RNA (445 nucleotides) under uncultured bacterium. RNAcentral describes it as "partial 16S ribosomal RNA". It matches the Rfam family "Bacterial small subunit ribosomal RNA", at positions 354 to 796 of the family's 1533-position model. The record is from RNAcentral.
GUGAGGAAUAUUGGUCAAUGGGUGGGAGCCUGAACCAGCCAAGUCGCGUGAAGGAAGAAGGAUCUAUGGUUCGUAAACUUCUUUUGCAGGGGAAUAAAGUGCAGGACGUGUCCUGUUUUGUAUGUACCCUGAGAAUAAGGAUCGGCUAACUCCGUGCCAGCAGCCGCGGUAAUACGGAGGAUCCGAGCGUUAUCCGGAUUUAUGGGGUUUAAAGGGUGCGUAGGUGGUUUGAUAAGUCAGCGGUGAAAGUUUGCAGCUUAACUGUAAAAAUGCCGUUGAAACUGUCGGACUUGAGUGUAAAUGAGGUAGGCGGAAUGCGUGGUGUAGCGGUGAAAUGCAUAGAUAUCACGCAGAACUCCGAUUGCGAAGGCAGCUUACUAAGCUACAACUGACACUGAAGCACGAAAGCGUGGGGAUCAAACAGGAUUAGAUACCCGUGUAGUCC